Molecule: ribosomal RNA, 253 nt
Filed under: uncultured bacterium
Lineage: Bacteria
Description: partial 16S ribosomal RNA
Rfam family: Bacterial small subunit ribosomal RNA
Source: RNAcentral
AACGUAGGAGGCGAGCGUUAUCCGGAUUUACUGGGUGUAAAGCGCGUGCAGGCGGUGGUGUAAGUGGAGCGUGAAAGCGCCCGGCUCAACCGGGCGAGGACGUGCCAAACUGCACAACUGGAGGUAGGUAGAGGCGUGUGGAAUUCCGGGUGUAGUGGUGAAAUGCGUAGAGAUCCGGAGGAACACCAGUGGCGAAGGCGACACGCUGGGCCUGACCUGACGCUAAGACGCGAAAGCAUGGGGAGCGAACGGG